GCACCUUCACAUUCUCUUCAUACAGUGCACUCUCUUCUCUCUCCCUCUCUCUCUCUCUCGGAAGAGAAAAGGAAACUUCCCAAGAUGAAAGAAACACACAAGUUUCUACGAGGUAACCUUGAAGCCGUUGGCUUGCAUGGGGCCAUGAAGAACACCACCACUGUACUCAACCCUCCAAGAAUUGGAAUCCAAUGCCAAAAAGUAGUACUCCUUGUAGCAGGAAUCUUCGAGACUUCCAUUGCGACGGUUGCUGCUUGUUCAUGUUAAUUGGGUGCUAUCCUACCUGAGCUUUUUCUUCUACCCACUUCUUCAUCCGAUCUAUUUUUUUUUUUUUUUUUUUUUUUCUGUCUUCUUGACCUUGUAAGACCUUUUCUUGAUCUUGUAAGACCUCGUACCGUGUCUGCUGUCUUUGUUUUCCAAUUUCCUACCAUCUCUGUAUCGAAAUUCACUGAUGCAGAGUUUUGUCGUUGUACUUUCCCGUUUCCACCCAACUCAUCUUCUCCUUCCUUGUCUAUCCCUCCUGAGCUGUUUGAAAUUAGCUUGUCAUGCGUAUAUGUGUAUCUCUCCUCAGAAAGUGUCCCAUAGAAGACUUGAUCAGAUCAGCCUCUAGCUUAUAAGAGCUCAUGCAAGCAAUGGAGACCUCGAUUACAAUAUGGGUUUCUCUUUUCACAUGUAAAUUUAGAAGGGAUUGAAGAAAUUAAAUGGUAACAGUGAUCCAUGAGGUUGAGUUGUAAAAGAAGCUAGAAUAUUAAUAAAAAUAUUCCCACCUUGUUUUUA
Molecule: long non-coding RNA, 777 nt
Organism: Alnus glutinosa
Lineage: Eukaryota; Viridiplantae; Streptophyta; Magnoliopsida; Fagales; Betulaceae
Exons: 2
Source: RefSeq, a predicted model, not a curated record